This 148-nucleotide non-coding RNA is filed under the name Pan troglodytes (chimpanzee). Lineage: Eukaryota; Metazoa; Chordata; Mammalia; Primates; Hominidae. The record is from Rfam by way of RNAcentral.
GCCAGGCAUGGUGGCGCAUGCCUGUAAUCCCAGCUACCUGGGAGGCUGAGGCACAAGAAUCACUUGAACCCAGGAGGCAGAAGUUGCAGUGAGCCGAAAUUGUGCCACUGCACUCCAACCUGGGUGACAGAGUGAGACCUUGUCUUAA